This is a non-coding RNA of Sarcophilus harrisii (Tasmanian devil), 46 nucleotides long. The record is from Rfam. Lineage: Eukaryota; Metazoa; Chordata; Mammalia; Dasyuromorphia; Dasyuridae.
CCAAAGGCUCUUUUAAGAGCCACCAUCAGGCAUCUUACGGAGAGCU